This 406-nucleotide ribosomal RNA is filed under the name uncultured bacterium. Its description in RNAcentral is "partial 16S ribosomal RNA". It matches the Rfam family "Bacterial small subunit ribosomal RNA", at positions 30 to 526 of the family's 1533-position model. The record is from RNAcentral.
AUUGAACGCUGGCGGCAAGCCUAACACAUGCAAGUCGAACGAGUGGCGGACGGGUGAGUAAUGUCUGGGAAACUGCCUGAUGGAGGGGGAUAACUACUGGAAACGGUAGCUAAUACCGCAUACCAUCGGAUGUGCCCAGAUGGGAUGAGCUAGUAGGUGGGGUAAAGGCUCACCUAGGCGACGAUCCCUAGCUGGUCUGAGAGGAUGAUCAGCCACACGGGAACUGAGACACGGUCCAGACUCCUACGGGAGGCAGCAGUGGGGAAUAUUGCACAAUGGGCGAAAGCCUGACGCAGCCAUGCCGCGUGUAUGAAGAAGGCCUUCGGGUUGUAAAGUACUGUCAGUGGGGAGGCGGUACCCACAGAAGAAGCACCGGCUAACUCCGUGCCAGCAGCCGCGGUAAUAC